Cavia porcellus (domestic guinea pig) is the source of this 101-nucleotide small nuclear RNA. NCBI's taxonomy places the organism in Eukaryota, Metazoa, Chordata, Mammalia, Rodentia, Caviidae. The record is from Rfam.
AUACACACACAUACAUAUAAAAAAAUGGAACAAUACAAAGAAGAUUAGCAUGGCCCUUACGCAGGGAGGACAUGCAAAUUUGUGAAGUAUUCCACAUUUUA